RNAcentral lists this non-coding RNA (148 nucleotides) under Pan paniscus (pygmy chimpanzee). Lineage: Eukaryota; Metazoa; Chordata; Mammalia; Primates; Hominidae. RNAcentral also lists the same sequence under 1 other name. The record is from Rfam by way of RNAcentral.
GCCAGGUGUGGUGGUGCACGCCUGUAAUCCCAGCUACUUGGGAGGCUGAGGCAGGAGAAUUGCUUGAACCCAGGAGGCGGAGGUUGCAGUGAGCUGAGAUCAUGCCACUGGAAUCCAGCCUGGGCAACAGAGCAAGACUCCGUCUCAA